ACGUCACGCGGUGUCCAAUGCGCCCCCGGUAGCCCUUGAAAAUCUGAAGGACCAUGUGCCGACCACACCCGAUCGUACUCAUAACCGCGUCAGGUCUCCAAGGUGAACAGCCUCUCGUCGAUGGAACAAUGUACGCAAGGGAUGUCGGCAAAAUGGAUCUGUAACUUCGGGAAAAGGAUUGGCUUUGAGGGCUGGGCAUGGGGUUCCCAGUGCCAAACCCAUCGAUUGUCGACGAACUGCUUGAACGUCUCGCACGAUGAGAGCGGGUCGCCGUGUGCCGGCCGAGGGAUGGACUGGGAACGGCCCCUUCGGGGGCCUUCCCCGGGCAUCGAACAAUCAACUCAUAACUGGUACAGACAAGGGGGAUCUGACUAUUUAAUUAAAACAAAGCAUUGUGAUUGUCCCCGUGGAUGUUAACGUAAUGUGAUUUCUGCCUAGUGCUCUGCAUGUCAAAGUGAAGAUAUUCAACCAAGCGUGGGUAAAUAGCGGGAGUAACUAUGACUCUCUUAAGGUAGCCUAAUGCUAAGUCAUCUAAUUAGUGACGCGCAUGAAUGGAUUAACGAGAUUCCCACUGUCCCUGUCUACUAUCCAAUGAAACCACAACCAAGGGAACGGGCUUGGCAGAAUCGUGCCGCAAAUAAGACCCUGUUGAGCUUAACUCUAGUCCGACUUUGUGAAAUGACUUGAGAGGUGCAGCAUAAGUAGGAGCUUCGGCGUAAGUGAAACACCACUACUUUUAACGUUAUUUUACUUACUCCGAGAGUCGGAGGUGGGACAUCGCCCCUCUAUUUGGACCUAAGGCUCGCUUCGCGGGCCGAUCCGGGUAGAGGACAUUUUCAGGUGGGGAGUUUGGCUAAGGCGGCAUAUCUGUUAAAAGAUAACACAAGUGUCCUAAGAUAAGCUCAACGAGAACAGAAAUCUCAUGUGGAAUAAAAGGAUAAAAGCUCGUUUGAUUCUAAUUUUAAGUAUGAAUACGAACCGUAAGAGCGUGACCUUAUGAUCCUUUAGACCUUGAAAUUUGAAGCUAGAGGUGUCAGAAAAGUUACCACAGGGAUAACUGAAUUGUGGCAGCCAAGCAUUCAUAGAGAUGUUGCUUUUUGAUCCUUUGAUGUCGGCUCUUCCUAUCAUUAUGAAGCAAAAUUCACCAAGUGUUGGAUUGUUCACCCACCAAUAAGGAACAUGAGCUGGGUUUAGACCGUCAUAAGACAGGUUCCUUUUACCCUAUUGAUAACAGUAUCACGAUGGUAGUUCAACAUAGUGCAAGAGGAACCGUUGAUUCACACAAUUGGUAAUCGCACUUGGUUUAAAAGCCAGUGGCACGAGGCUACCCUGCAUUGGAUUAUGACUGAACACCUCUAAGUAAGAAUCCGGGCCAAAAGUGACGCAUGCGCCCAUCGCCCGAUUACCGACCUGCAGUAGAGGCCUUGGCCCCCAAGGGCAUGUGU
This 1445-nucleotide ribosomal RNA is filed under the name Pachycereus pringlei. Its description in RNAcentral is "eukaryotic LSU rRNA". It matches the Rfam family "Eukaryotic large subunit ribosomal RNA", at positions 1770 to 3401 of the family's 3401-position model. Lineage: Eukaryota; Viridiplantae; Streptophyta; Magnoliopsida; Caryophyllales; Cactaceae. The record is from RNAcentral.